This 253-nucleotide ribosomal RNA is filed under the name uncultured bacterium. Its description in RNAcentral is "partial 16S ribosomal RNA". It matches the Rfam family "Bacterial small subunit ribosomal RNA", at positions 524 to 776 of the family's 1533-position model. The record is from RNAcentral.
UACGUAGGGUCCAAGCGUUAAUCGGAAUUACUGGGCGUAAAGCGUGCGCAGGCGGUUUUGUAAGUCUGAUGUGAAAUCCCCGGGCUCAACCUGGGAAUUGCAUUGGAGACUGCAAGGCUAGAAUCUGGCAGAGGGGGGUAGAAUUCCACGUGUAGCAGUGAAAUGCGUAGAGAUGUGGAGGAACACCGAUGGCGAAGGCAGCCCCCUGGGUCAAGAUUGACGCUCAUGCACGAAAGCGUGGGGAGCAAACAGG